RNAcentral lists this long non-coding RNA (1215 nucleotides) under Olea europaea subsp. europaea. The record is from RNAcentral. Lineage: Eukaryota; Viridiplantae; Streptophyta; Magnoliopsida; Lamiales; Oleaceae.
GCAAAAAUUCAGCCAUCUGUAACCAGAGUGAAUAUAGGAUGCUCAUAAUUUGUAACUGUUAGAUGCUCACUCAUAGUAAAAUGCUAAUGAAUUAAGAUGAGAAUAACCCUUGCAUAUAUAAAGAUUUAGAUUCAUGAAUUCAGCAUCAGACUUAAGUAUAACAUGGCCCAGACCUGCCCAAGGCCAAACUGUUUUUUUAGUGAAAAAGUUAUUUUUUUCAUGGAAUCUUUUUUCUACGUAUCAUCCCAGUAUAAAUUUAUUUUUCGUCCUACAUGGCUCUGUCCCUGGCCUCAUAGAAAUUUAUGUAAAUAAAAGAGCUGUUUGAAUAAUCGAUUUGCAUUUGAAAAGUAAUCCCAUGAAUCAAGGGUGUUUGAAAACUUGCUUCUAAAUAUAGUGUAACCUCUAUAAAUUAAUAAUGUUGGGACCAUGCAAAGUUAUUAAUUUAUUAAUAAAAUCCAUUCAUGAUUUAAUACACACACAUUGAACCAACUAAAUAUAAAUUGUAAUCUACUAAUUUAAUAAGUUAAAUAAGCAUUAAUAAAUUAAAGAUACAUUAAUUAAGUAAAAACUUAAAAUCAUUGUAUUCACCUAUUUAAUUAAAUAAAAUUCAUUAUUUAUUGUAUUCAUAAAAUCAAAUGAUUCAGCGUAUUAGAUUAAAGACAAACUCUAUUUAAAUAAACACAAUCUUUUCGUGUACUUCCUAACACCACUUGACAAUCUACAAUAGCUUCUCAUUUGGAAGGUGCUCCAAACAGCAGAUGAAAUGCAUAAAGAAUUAUGUGAGUAUAGCAACGAGUAUCCAACAUGCACUAUAAAAAAGAAUUACAGCAAUGACCUUUGAAAAAAUUCAACAAUCUUUAUUUUCCUUCUUCUUUUUCUUUUUCAAUUUUUUUUUUUUUUUUUUUUUUUUAGAGUUUUUGCAGGGCGAAUAUUAACUUCAAGGCUAGUGGCAUGGCACUCCUUUCAGAUUGAUAGAGUUCCGUGGGGAAAGAACAAGUUCAACAACUUCUUUAUUGAAACCAAAGUCCGGAUUACAGAUUAUGAAAUGAAAAGAAAGCCUAUAGAAGGCUGAAUAAUGCACGACUACUACUCUUCUUCCUUUCUGAUACCCACUAUUACUCCUCACUAUCUUAUUUAUAGACCUCAUGCAACAAUUUUCUGUUUAUGUAACUAAUUCGGUUGGUAGUUCCCGCUCAUUUGCUCUCUCUACCUUCU